Long non-coding RNA from Acinonyx jubatus (cheetah), 4153 nucleotides. RefSeq lists it as uncharacterized. Lineage: Eukaryota; Metazoa; Chordata; Mammalia; Carnivora; Felidae. The record is from RefSeq and is a predicted model, not a curated record. The transcript has 8 exons.
UCUUCAUUUUGCUGUUCAGAAGAACAAGCCUCCCUGCAGCCACCUGCUGGAAGUCACACAGGUGGCAGGGUAUUGCCUCGCUCAGUUGUCAAGGGUUACACUCAGCAGAAAAAGCCUGCAUCGGACGCGUGUGUCCUGAGAGCAUUCUGAGUUGAAAUAAACAUCCCUGUGUUUCCAUCUCUGCAUGCUUUUCUGAAGUAUAAUUGUUGGGUCGAAAGCAGCUUCAGGAACUGCUUGUCUUCAUAGUCAAAGCGGCUUCCAAAGACGACAGAACUGAUGACAUUUGAGACAGUGCGGCUCAGGAAGAAGCUGGGAUGUGGAAUUGAUGGCUGGAGCUCUAGCAGUCAUUUGCAUCAUGACAUGAUCUUGGGAAUGGAAAACACACAUCAUAGAACAAGAGAGAAGAGCCAGACCCUGUGGAGCACCCUACACUGACAACCUCUGAAAGUGUCCAAUAUAUGGCAAAGAUCACCAGGACAGACAUGUGGCAGACAGGAAGAGGUAAAGACCUCUCAGAUGUCCAUGUUACCAGGAAGAAGGAACCGUCCUUGGCCAUGGGCCCUGGAAUCAGAGAUCCUGGGAUUCAGCCUCUUCAGUAACCUGAAUACCUUUGGAUUAAAAUCCUGGGGGUUGGAUCCCACGUGGGAGUUGCCACAGGAACUUCUAAGAUCUGGGGGACUUUUCAGAUGCUGCCAAGUUUCUUUGGCCUGGACUGUGAUGUCCCAAGUGGAUUCAGGUGAACCCAGAUGAGAAGAUUGUCUUUUUGAAGAUUGUCUUUAAGCCAAACAACUGUGGACAAGACAGUGAGGUAAUGUAGUAAAAAUGAUAUGACUGCCCAAAACAUCCCUUUGGAAGGCACCAAGGGUGGGGAAUAAUUUCAAAAUGUCCCUUUGGCCAGAUUUUUGUCAAUCUCAUUGACCACCCACCCAGCCUCUAGAAAGCUGCCUUCUUUUGGUGCAGAUGUGGAAUCUCUGGACAAGAGAACAGGGUCACAUGAUGUGAAUCACAGAAACUAAUGUAGAAGGAAUCAACCAGCUCUUUUCUCAAAAGCAGAUUCUGAGGCUCUGAUGGCUUCCUUUCCAGAACACUUUUCCAAGUAUCUUCUGGACUCUCUCCUAAGUACUGAAUCCUUCAGGGCUCCUAAAACUGUUGUAACAAGAAAGACCUGGGGGCAAGAGGUCUACAAGGAUGAACUCUGGCAGAACUCAUGUUGCUGAAGGCUUACAUGAAUGUUUGAAUGUGUGGAUUAAAAAAAUAUUAACAACUUGGGGCGCCUGGGUGGCUCAGUCACUUGAGCGUCUGACUUCAGCUCAGGUCAUGAUCUCAUGGUCCGUGAGUUCAAGUCCUGCGUCAGGCUCUGUGCUGACAGUUCAGAGCCUGGAGCCUCCUUCAGAUUCUGUGUCUCCCUCUCUCUGCCUCUCUCCUGCUCACUGUCUCUCUAUCUCAAAAAUAAAUGAACAUUAAAAAAUUUAAAAAAAUAUUAACAACUGGAUGGCUUAGGAAGAAUAGAUACUCUAAGUAAUGUACAGGGCAGAACUGGUAGAAAGUGUGAGCCCUUGAAGAAGAGUCACUCUAGAGAUAAAAAGUGGUAGAAGUGUUUGGUACAGGGGAUAGGCAUGACUCUGAUUCUUAAACAGAGAAAAUGUUUUGGAAAGACAUAAAUGAGUCAUAGAUUCCAUGGCUACUGUCUCUCCUUCCUUGCCAGUGACUCAAGGCUCAAACUCCAAGGAAUGACCGCUUGAUGAAUAUAGAUUGGAUCACAUGCCUGACCUCUGGCUAUAUGGUGACUGGGUAAGGGAAGAACCUUACUCCCUGAGAGAGACUGAUUUGUUCCCAAAUUUUCACUCCUCUGUUAUAGGAAUAUACACACCCACAUUCUUUGCCAUGUACCUUUGCAACACCUCCCAUUGUGAGCAGAAUAUAUAGACCCCUCCAUGUUGGACUUGACCAUGUGACUUGCUUUAACCAAUGGGAUGCAAACAGAUGCUUUAACUCUGCUGCCCAGGUUUGAUAGCUUCUUAUGCUGCUGUCAUCUGCAGGAGAGGAGCAGGAGAGGAGCAGGAGAGGUAGCUGCUUCCCCAUUAGCUUGGGCCCCAGAAUGAAGGACUCCAGACUUUCAGUUGGAUUCAGGUCUUAACAAACAGAUUUUCUGGCAUAUACAUAUAAAAUCUAUUAUAUACAUGCAUAAUACAUAUAUAUACAUAAUAAAUAUGCAUUAUACAUUAUUUACAUUAUAUAUUAUUUACAUAAUAUGCAUUACCAAACCAUACGAACAUACCUGCUACAUUGCCUGGCACAUAAAAGGUCAUUUCAUUCAUUCAUUCAUUUAUUCACUCAUUCAUUCACCAUCUUCCUGAGUGUCUUUGUCACUCUAUUACCCACUAUUCCCCCUCCUUCUGGUCUUGCCCUUCUUUUCCUUGGCCCCUCCUCCUCUCCUUCUUUCCCUGAUUAUUUCCCUCACAUACUUCCUUUGCUCCUGUGUCUGUCUCGUCAUUCAUUCACUGACACCAGUGAGGUGACCAGUGAGUGUCAAUUCCAUUCUGACACUGAUUGCCUGGCAUUCGCAUCGGAUUCCACAGGUUUAAGGGCUCCAUCCCACAGGACUGUCCCCACUUCAGCUUCUACCUACAAAUUUCAGGUAUCCCCAAGCCAUCCACACUUCUGCCUAGCUGGCUACAAAUUCAGGGCUUCCUACAGCCCUCUCAGUAGUUCCCUAAUUCACUAGAACAACUCACAGAACUUAGCAAAACACUAUACUUAGGACUAUAGUUUUAAUAUCAUUAUUCUAAAGUUUUUUAAUGUUUAGUUUUGAGGGGGAGGGAAGGGGAAAAGAGAGAGACAGAGACACAGAAUCCAAAGCAGGCUCCAGGCUCCAAGCUGUCAGCACAGAGCCUGAUGCAGGGCUCAAACUCAUAGACCGCAAGAUCAUGACCUGAGCUGAAGUCGGACACUUAACUGACUGAGACACCCAGGCAUCCUCAUCUCAUUUUCUUAUAUUUAAAAUUUGUCUAUUUGUUUCCCAUAGGGGGACUGAAUAAAUAGGGUCCACUGCUGUUCCCUGGUCCAGUAGGAAAAGUCAGUCCCCAUCCCAAGACCCUAAAUGUGGAGAGUAGAUGUGGUCUGCUUACCUCGAGAGAAGGGGCAAAGAUGGGAUCCUCCUUGAAUGUCUCUUCCUCAUCGAGGCUAAGAGAGAUGAUGUCUCACUUCUCACAGCAGUGAAGUCAUAAAGGAUUAAGCUAGGGGUAGAGUAUAUCCUGGGAUUGAGUGAUCCUAGGAGAGUUACACAAGUCUCCUUCCCAAAGACAGCCUGGCAGAAGACCCUCAGAACACUUUGGUGAACAAAAGAGAUUCUCAUUAGAAUAAAGACCCUCAUUCCAAAUUUUCCUGGCCCUAGCUAGUCUUGUCUUGGGGGUGAGUUAUUGUUGAAACAAAGACUUCUGGGGAGGGCAAAGCACUUGAACAAGGGGAGAGAUUACAGGGUCUCUGGAUCUCACAAGGAGCAGCUUUAGUUCAGAGAUUUUUUUCUUGGUGGCCAAGUGCGUAUGGGUGAGCUGGCCAAUCACCUUGUAAACCUCUUCCUGUGUUUCCUCUGGAUGAAGUAAGUGUCAGGGAACCUCACUGACAAGGAGCAGCUUUCCAAGAAAGCCUUGGAAGGACUGGUGAAUCUGGGAAAAUUGGUACUAAACAGGGGAGUCAUUUCCAUUCCAUACUCUAACCAAUAGGACCAAAAGCCAGGUCUCAGACAUCCACUAUUUAGUGGGAUCAUCAAGUGUCAUCUGGGUAAAAAGUCCUAUAUGGACAUGACUUUAAUUUUUAAUUCCAGCUCAUUUUUGUAAACAUGCAUUGUGAUAGAGUGGGGAAGUUGUGAGGAGUCCGGAAUCCUGGACUCCAAUUUUUUUGCCCACCCCAUUGAUCUCCUUUGAGAUAUUGGAUAACCACCUCCCUUCUUAGAUCCUAAUGUCUGAGAUGUUGGGUUGGUCUAGAUAAUAUCUUCCAGAAUCAAGACUAGUUUAUGAUAUUUAUUCAUCUGCCAAAGUUAUUUUAAGAGUCAAGUGUGGGGGCACUUGGUGGCUCAGUCAGUUGAGUAUCCGAUUCUUGGUUUCAGCUCAGUCUGUGAUGUCACUAUUCCUGGGUUUGAACCCUGCAUCAGGCG